CCUACGGGUGGCAGCAGUGGGGAAUAUUGCACAAUGGGGGAAACCCUGAUGUAGCGACGCCGCGUGCGUGAAGAAGUAUUUCGGUAUGUAAAGCUCUAUCAGCACGGAAGAAGAAAGACGGUACCUUACUAAGUAGCCCCGGCUAACUACGUACCAGCAGCCGCGGUAAGACGUAGGGGGCAAGCGUUAUCCGGAUGUACUGGGUUUAACGGGAGCGUAGACGGCUGUGCAAGUCUGAGGUGCAAGCCCCGGGCUCAAGCCGGGGACUGCUUGGGAAACUGUGGAGCGAGAGUGCUGGAGAGGCAGGCGGAAGUCGUGGUGUAGCGGGGAAAUGCUUAGAUAUUAGGAGGAACCCCGGUGGCGAAGGCGGCUUACUGCAGCGUAACUGACGCUGAGGCUCGAAAGCGUGGGGAGCGAACAGGAUUAGAUACCCGAGUAGUC
Molecule: ribosomal RNA, 441 nt
Filed under: uncultured bacterium
Lineage: Bacteria
Description: partial 16S ribosomal RNA
Rfam family: Bacterial small subunit ribosomal RNA
Source: RNAcentral